This 295-nucleotide ribosomal RNA is filed under the name uncultured bacterium. Its description in RNAcentral is "partial 16S ribosomal RNA". It matches the Rfam family "Bacterial small subunit ribosomal RNA", at positions 775 to 1067 of the family's 1533-position model. The record is from RNAcentral.
GGAUUAGAUACCCUGGUAGUCCACGCCGUAAACGAUGUGUGCUAGUUGUCGGGCGCUUAGCGUUCGGUGACGGAGCGAAAGUAUUAAGCACACCGCCUGGGGAGUACGGCCGCAAGGUUAAAACUCAAAGGAAUUGACGGGGACCCGCACAAGCGGUGGAGCAUGUUGUUUAAUUCGACGCAACGCGAAGAACCUUACCCACUCUUGACAUCCUCCUUGGGACUCGCAGAGAUGCUUGUCUUCGGUUCGGCCGGGGGAGUGACAGGUGCUGCAUGGCUGUCGUCAGCUCGUGCCG